Oryctolagus cuniculus (rabbit) is the source of this 2472-nucleotide long non-coding RNA. NCBI's taxonomy places the organism in Eukaryota, Metazoa, Chordata, Mammalia, Lagomorpha, Leporidae. The record is from Ensembl.
CUCUGGCCAGUGUCCCAGCCACUCUGUGGCAUCUCAUGAGCUGGGCAGGCACAGAUAUUGUCUUCCCACUGUGGCUGCACCUGUCUCUGAGUCUGGCCUCACUCUGGCUUCCUGCCCAGGCUGGUCCCAGGAACUUGGCCUGGGACACCUGAACUCUGGACUAAGGUCUACUCUGGUCCAUGAAGAAGGGCCACCCCAGUCCCUGAGACCAGGGCUAGCUCUCAGCAGCCAGUGGGUGACCUCUGUGGGUGUCCUGGGAAGUCCUGAGGGCCCCAGAUGGAGGGGGAGGCAGACCAUGGAGGAUGAGGAGCCCCCGGGGGAGGGGAGGCCUGACACUCCUGGAGGUGGAGCCUGCUGGGCACAGCGCCACAGGUACGGGGUGCCAGAUGGACACCUCCAAGGCCAUGCCCUGUGCUGCUGCCCCAGACAAGGCUCCCACCCAUCGGCAUGCCGCCCCCAUUUUUGUCUCUAACAUUCUAGAAAAUCAGGAAGCCACCGCCGCCACCACCCCCAGAAAAGGUCAGUGUGGAUUUGGUUUUCAUUUGUUCCCUGCCUGGAGAGGACGGGGACCCUCACCCACAGCAUCCUGAGGCCUGGGCCCAACAUCUCCCUCCCAAGGGGCAAGGGGUGGCCCCAGGGUCUGGGAUGCACAGUGAUGUCCCCGGAAGACCCCUCCAGGCUCCCAGCAUGCCCAGACAGGGCACAGAAGGAGCAGGGAGGCAGGAGCAGGACAGAGGGAGCUGCAGUGUGGGCUGGCAAAGGCUUGAGCCAGUGUCUGGGACCGCACAGCCUGUAGGCCAGGCCUCAGACAGCAAGGGCGGCCCCAGGACAGGCAAGAGUUUAGGAGCCGAGGCGCUGGCAUCUGGGGAGAGGCCGUGGCAGUGCUGGAAGAAGGCUGUGGGAGGUCCUCACAUAGGGCUGUGCCCUGUGCUGGGUGCAGCUCCUCGUGCGACCUCCACUCAGCCCAAAAUAUAGAGGAUCAGCCAGCCCUGUGCAGUCAUGGGACUCCACGUCCCUGCUCCCCGACAGCCACGGGCAAGGAAGUAGACAGUUGCAUUUCUCUUCUAGAAGCCCAAGAAAGUGCCUCCUCCACCGCCCCCGCCCCCGCCGCCCCCCGUGACCGUGUGUCCCACAGUGAUCGUCUGCUGCUGUGCCUGCCAGGGGGUGUGGGUGAGCAGAGUGUCCCAGGGCACCCUGGACGGCUUCUACAACUACAUCCAGCCCACCUGCCACCCUUCACCGAUGAUGUUGUGCCGGGCCAGGGGCCAGGUGAGCCGGGCUCAGGGAUGCUCCCUGGGGCACAACAGCCACUGCUUUUGCCCUUGACACUUGCCCGCUGGGACCAUGGCUCAGAGUCAGGGCUGGCAGGUGCCAAGAGGAAUGCCCUGGACACAAAGCUGACAGCUCCUGCUCAUUGCCCCAUGCAUGGCCGUGGCCAGUCCUUUGGGGCAGCAGUGCUGGGGACGUGGUAGCAGCUGCUUGUGGCCAGCACUGACCAGCCCAGGGCCCUCCCCCUCCCUCAUGCCCAGAUGCUGAAGGGGCGUGCCCACAGCUGGGAGGCACACAGCAGGGAGGCAGGAACCCCACACUCCAGAGCAGCGCGGGGGGCAGGCAGCACUGGAAGGGCCUGGAGGAAGGCAGUGCACCCAGCCCAGUGUCACCGUGAAUAGAGCCAGGGACAGGUGUGUCACUGGGAGGCCCACCUGCUGUGGCUGCCUGUGCACCCCCCCCCCCUCCGCCUUUCAGUCCUGGAAGCCCCUCCAGGGUUUGGAUGAGGGCGUGGGGGUCACUGUGUCUCUGCUCUCAGCUCUGACUCAAAUGCAGCUGGGCCUCAGCUCUGCACUCAGCGCCCAGUGCCGGCCCCGCACGCCACAGGAGCCUCAUCCUUUGCACCUGUCGGGGGCUUCGGCUCCUGCUCAUCUGAAAAGCACUCACUGAGCAGAAAUCAAGGAGCGCCCAGGGCUCAGCUCCCUGCCGAGGCUCUUGGACGUCCGGACCCCUCGCCUUCCCCAGUUCUAGAGCUCAGCCCCUCCUUCCUUGGAUGCUGGCCCCUCUGUCCAUCCACAGAGACAGCCAUGCAGAGAAUUCCCUGGUCUCCAUGCCACACUGGUCCCAGGCUCUCUUCUCUCCUGUCCUCAAGCUUCCCUCUACCUCCCCCUGAUGGGGACUUCUGGUAUUACAUCAGCACGCCCACACAAUCUGCUCCAGCAGCCCAGCCCAGGUUCCAGAGCCACAGGCACCAAGCACCUCCCGCCUGGCCAGGGACUUGGACACAGGUUCUCAGCAUGAUGGACGGGACAUCGUUCUGAGCUUCUACUCAGCCUACCAGGAGGGACAGGUGUUUGGCACCUGUGCUCGGUCAGGAAGGAGGCCUCCAGGCUCGGGGGCCACCAGCCCCGGGCCACCAGGGGCUUCACCAAGGUCCAAGCUCUGGGUCCUGAUGCUCCUGCCCCAUCCCUUUGACCCGCCCAC